This 497-nucleotide ribosomal RNA is filed under the name uncultured bacterium. Its description in RNAcentral is "partial 16S ribosomal RNA". It matches the Rfam family "Bacterial small subunit ribosomal RNA", at positions 28 to 507 of the family's 1533-position model. The record is from RNAcentral.
GAUGAACGCUGGCGGCGUGCCUAAUACAUGCAAGUCGAGCGAACAGACGAGGAGCUUGCUCCUCUGACGUUAGCGGCGGACGGGUGAGUAACACGUGGAUAACCUACCUAUGAGACUGGGAUAACUUCGGGAAACCGGCGCUAAUACCGGAUAAUAUAUUGAACCGCAUGGUUCAAUAGUGAAAGACGGUUUUGCUGUCACUUAUAGAUGGAUCCGCGCCGCAUUAGCUAGUUGGUAAGGUAACGGCUUACCAAGGCAACGAUGCGUAGCCGACCUGAGAGGGUGAUCGGCCACACUGGAACUGAGACACGGACCAGACUACUACGGGAGGCAGCAGUAGGGAAUCUUCCGCAAUGGGCGAAAGCCUGACGGAGCAACGCCGCGUGAGUGAUGAAGGUCUUCGGAUCGUAAAACUCUGUUAUUAGGGAAGAACAAAUGUGUAAGUAACUAUGCACGUCUUGACGGUACCUAAUCAGAAAGCCACGGCUAACUACGUG